AUACAAGUAUGUGCAGGUUUGUGUAUGUACAUGUGUGCGUGUAUUUGUAUAUGUGUUAAAUGUGUAUAUGCUUAUGUUUGUUUGCAUAUAUAUGUGUGUAUACAUGUUUACACUUAUUUGUGUGCAUGCAUGCACAUCUCUGUAUGUCCAUGUUUCGGUGUUUUGAGUGCUCUUAGACAAAUAUAUUUAUAUGCCUAAAUAAAAAAUGUGCUUCAUAUCUCUGAUUUUGAUGGUUACCUGUGUAUGCUGCUAUCAUCUACCUCACAUCUACCUCCUUAUUGCUGUUUUCUGAAAUUAUACAACCAUAGUUGUUCUUUGGUUCAUCUCCAAAUACAUUUCUUCUGAAGCUCUUAUAUUUUCCAUUCUCCAAAGUGACAUACCAUUCAGGAAUUAAUGAGUUGAUUCAAGGCUUGGGUUCCCUCUGCAGCCUCAGAACAUAGAACACUUGCAAGUGGAACCAAACAAGGGAUGAGAAUAUUAAAACAUUCUAGCGUCAUCUUCUGACUUCAGAGAGAAGAGAGAAGCUGGAGGUUGAUUUAAUCAAAUGGAAAAUGAUUUAGUAAAUCAUGCCUGAAGAGUGAUACUUCCAGAAAAACCCUAGAGCAGAGAAUUAAGACAUUGGAAGAGAGAUCCUGCUGACUUGGACUUUCUGUAGUUAAACCAAAAUUAUUAGUUGUAGGAACCUCUGAUUUAUUCUCGAUUGAUCAUGAACACAGGAGAUCUGGCCUUGUCUUACCACCUGCUCUACUUUCAAAUGUCCCCAAAUGAUUGUGUGUUUGGUAACUUGGUCCAUAGGUGGAUGUACUGACUGGUAGAUAUGAGACAUUUAAGAAAGUGAAACUUGACUGGUAAAGGCUUAUUGGGUUGGAGAUUUACCACAACAUAUCACCAGUGGAAAAAUGAAGUCAAGCAGCUGAAUAUACCCCAGCAUUCAUGGAAAUUAUUGCCCUUCAGCGCUGGCAUAGUUUGGUUGACCUUUUUCUAUAAUAACUUCAAUGUCUUCUCUGUGCUGUCCUUGAGAUAUCUCUUACUUGUUGUUCCUUUUUCCUGUGUCACGUGGUGAAGGGACUUCACAAGCCCAGGAGAUUUCAUCAAGAAGAUGCAAUUUAGAAUUAUGUAAUCUACUGUCUCCUGAUACAACGGUUGAUACUUUUCCUCUUUGUCAGCCUUUCAGAGGUAGUACAGGAACAGAAAUGGUAGAUCCAUGUAUGCUGUAAAGUGGAAACGCACCUCCUCCCGCAACUGAACUGACUGACUUAUCAACCAAGAAUGGUGUUUUUCUUUGAAAAAAUUGAUUUCACACAGGUGUUGUGGGGACAUAUUGAGCAAGUAAAUGCUACUUUCUGUGAAUGCAGGUUAAUCCAUUUUACAGAUACUAGGCCUCUCUGGUCAAUCAGGAUAAGGUUACAUUCAUGUAUGUGCCCAGGGCUGACCAUUUGACCUUGGACAAUCAACUCUUGCCCAGGGAAGACCACCUCUCCCAAUUUUGACUUUCCUCUAUUGCCAAUAGUUUUUUGCAGGGUUGAGGCUCCAAAAGGUUUUCCCUCAUUCCCUUCGGCAUGCUUAUUGGUGUACUCUUUAUUCAGUUCAUAUUUGGACAUAUAUAGUUUUAAUAAAGUUUUUCUAUCUGGACUGAGUUUCUGGUUUCUGAGUUGCUGAUCAGGGUUGUCCAAGAGACUCCUUAAACACACAGCCCAUUGCUUGUUACCCCUGGUGACUCUAGAAACAGGGCCCCGGUACCAAUGAGCUAGAACUGACUUGAAUUCUCCUUCCCUGAGAACUAGCUUUCAAUGUACCAGGUGGUACCAUGGAUGCUUCUAAAGGAGGGAGGCAACCAACAAUCUGCCUGUGAAUGACCACAGUGACCACUGUGGCAUGAUAACCAUAAGGGAGCAGAAAUGGCAUGCAUACCUUGGCCAUAACUAACAGUUCUCAAACUGGACUCAUGAACUGCUCAAAAGAGGUGAACCACAUGUGGUAUCGGAAACCUAGUUAAGUUUUGGUUAUCUGAGGAGGAGAAUCCACAACCAUUAAUUUUCUCAACUAGAAUAAUGGCUAUCAACAACUUUUAAACAUUUUUCUAUAUACUCACAGAUAAUUGUAUUCUUUAUACCCCAUAAAGGAAACUUCUCUUUGCAUUCGAUUUUUUAAGAGAAAAAUUAUCUAGGAAAUUUAUGUUUCGGCAAAAGGAAGAAAUAGAAAUUUCCCCUAAAGAAUGUUCUCCCAGAUUGUACUCUCUCCCCUAUUAUGAGCAGUCCAAACUGGACUGGUAAGCUCAUCACUGUAGUUAAUUUUCAUAAUUCCAUUACAUACACACUGGAUUUAUGGUGCAUUGAUAACUUUUCUCAUUGCUGUGACAAAAUGUCCAAGAAACGGAACUUAAGAGUGUAAAGCUUUGCUUUAGUUCAUAGUUUGAAGAUUCAGUGUAUCAUGCAGGGACGGCAUGGCAGCAGGAAGCACUUGAUUAUAGUGGAUCCUUCAGAAGCAGAGGGAGAUGCAGG
This is a non-coding RNA of Rattus norvegicus (Norway rat), 2501 nucleotides long. NCBI's taxonomy places the organism in Eukaryota, Metazoa, Chordata, Mammalia, Rodentia, Muridae. The record is from RefSeq and is a predicted model, not a curated record.